Molecule: long non-coding RNA, 1600 nt
Organism: Cebus imitator (Panamanian white-faced capuchin)
Lineage: Eukaryota; Metazoa; Chordata; Mammalia; Primates; Cebidae
Exons: 3
Source: RefSeq, a predicted model, not a curated record
AGGGAAGCCAAACAUGCCGCAGACCACGCGGGAGUUCUUGGCCGUCCAGUGCUUGUCACAGAUCUGCUUCCAGGUCUUGCCCUCCUUCACCUCCACGUAGCCCUCCAUCACUGGGGUGCGCUUGCGUCCUUCAGAAAAGCAAUGAAUUCUACUGCUUCCAUGAUGCAAGAGAAAAACAAAUAAAAACAUUCCCAUUGGAGAGAUUAGAAAACCAAGGAGAGAAACAGAGGCUCUUCAAGGUUGAGAAGGACCCCGGGCCAGUCUCCCGACGUGCAGGCCCCGCUCAAACGUGUCUGCUGUCAUGGCUGCCGGACAGGACUCAAAGGAGAGCACUUCAGAUCCAUUGUGGAGAACAAAGGGCUUAUUGAAAACAUCUGGGCUGAGGUUUUCCAACUGGCUUCUCAAUUUGGGCUGGUUUCCAAGCAGUCAAGCUUCACUGAAACAUAGACUCCCUAAUCAAUUGCCGUCUCAACAACAAACCGAUGUUUGUCUUGCUAAGUACUAGCAACGGAAAGGACCCUCCACAUUCUAAGCGGAACAUUCUGUUGCAGAGCUGUGCAAGUGUCACAGAUGGUGAAAAGCAGUGGCACCCUAUUCUGUGUGCAGUGAGAGAAACCCCCCUCGCUAAGGACCUGGAAAUCGACCAGUGCAUCAUCAAAGGAACUGAGAAGAGCUGCAAACCAGAGACCCUACGGAGCCUGCCCCAAAGAGCUUCUCUCUUAUGAACCUUGCAAAGGUCCCCAACAAUCUUCCACGGACCCCUUCCUCACAUGCUUGGUCAGUUUCUACUUAGAAGGCGGGUAUGUAAAUUUGUACUUAGCCCAAGACAGUAUCACCAUGCAUGGUAUACUCAUUUGGCCUCAUUUCAUGACAACACUUUUCGUGUUGGUUUUUUUGAGACAGUGUCUCACUGUUACCCAGGCUGGAGGGCAGCGGUGCAAUCAAAGCUCACUGAAACCUCCGCCUCCCAGGUUCAAGUGAUUCUCCCACCUCAGCCUUCCAAGUAGCUGGGACUACAGGCGCAUGCCACCACGACCGGCUAAUUUUUGUAUUGUUUUGGUAGAGACAGAGCUUCACCAUGUUAGCCAGGCUGAUCUCGAACUCCUGAUCUCAAGCGAUCCACCUGCCUCAGCCUCCCAAAGUGCUGGGAUUACAGGCAUAAACCACUCAACAGGGCCCCUCUUUUUUUUUCUCUGACAACCAGCUCUGACUCCAAAACCAAGGUGUUUCUAGGCACAGUCCAGAUGCCUCCUCAGAGCUGCCAAGAGAGCCGUGUCCUUGGGACGCAAGAUGAGAGUCAAAACUUUGGACACAAGAAAGCCAUUCAAUCAGAAGCCAAAUUUUAUCUUACUCUUUUCCUUCCAAUGCCUCUCCCGAUGAAAGAAGAGAUAUAUACACAAGUUAACAGAUCAUUAGGAAGAUAAAAAUCAUAAAUGAAAUUCAGUUGGAAUGUGAGAGCCCAGGGCAAUGGAAAUUAUUCAAGUUAGAAUCUGUGGGGUCGAGACCAGGUGCGGUGGGUCAGCCUGUAAUCCCAGCAAUUUGGGAGGCUGAGUUUGGGAGGCUGGGUGGUCGGAUCACUUGAGGCCACGAGUUUGAGACC